UUGCCUCUCCAAAUAGGAAUCGCCCCCGCCGACCUCCUCCCGCCCACGAGCGGCAACAAACUGCAACUGUCCUAGAUUGGAGUGGUGGAUCCGCUCAUUGGCAUCUCAUCUCUUAUUCAUCGAGUUCAGGAGGAGCUCGUUGGCAUGAUCGCAUCUCAUCUCUUCUUCGCCGAGUCCAGGAGGAGAUCCACGCGGGGAGGGAGACGAACAAGAGCGGCGCAUCGACGGUACGGGCAAACGACGACCCAGGUAUUGCUAUCUCCCUACCCUCGCUCCACCCCAUCUUCUCCCUGUAGCAUGUACUGCCACACGCCCACGUUCCCCUCUCCAAUGGCUGAUGCUCACGGUAGCCUGUAUUGCGGCACCCGCAUGUUCUCUUGGCAGGGCCGGCGAGCGGCAUGCCAUUGUGUUGCAAGAGGCACUAGCGGGGGCCUUCUUGUUGUAGACGGGGCGUAGGGGUGCGGCAACAUGUCAAAGGGCUCCACCCGCUUGUCCGUCACCGCCGGAUGUGUCCCUGUGGCAGCAGAUCUGCCUUGAUCUUCGUCCACAAGAAUGGAGGCAGUGCGAUAUGGCCCUGUUUUGUUUUAUUCCCACUUGUUGCAAAACUGGUGGUUGUUCAUCUUGAUGUAGUGACUUGACAUCACCUUGUUCUUGAUCCAAAUAGGAUGGACAUUCACAUUCACGUUUUGGCAUUGACUGUACAUACUCCUUUCAAGUUAGAUUAACAAG
RNAcentral lists this long non-coding RNA (729 nucleotides) under Triticum aestivum (bread wheat). RNAcentral describes it as "long non-coding RNA (TAES_LNC002316)". Lineage: Eukaryota; Viridiplantae; Streptophyta; Magnoliopsida; Poales; Poaceae. The record is from RNAcentral.